AAUUUUGCGCAAUGGACGAAAGUCUGACGCAGCAACGCCGCGUGAGGGAUGACGGCCUUCGGGUUGUAAACCUCUUUUCUCAGGGAAGAUGAUGACGGUACCUGAGGAAUAAGCCACGGCUAACUACGUGCCAGCAGCCGCGGUAAUACGUAGGUGGCAAGCGUUGUCCGGAUUUACUGGGCGUAAAGCGCACGUAGGCGGCUUUGCAAGUUAGAGGUGAAAGCCCGGGGCUCAACCCCGGAAUUGCCUUUAAAACUGCAUCGCUAGAAUUGUGGAGAGGUAAGUGGAAUUCCGAGUGUAGAGGUGAAAUUCGUAGAUAUUCGGAAGAACACCAGUGGCGAAGGCGACUUACUGGACACAUAUUGACGCUGAGGUGCGAAAGCGUGGGGAGCAAAC
RNAcentral lists this ribosomal RNA (396 nucleotides) under uncultured bacterium. RNAcentral describes it as "bacterial SSU rRNA". It matches the Rfam family "Bacterial small subunit ribosomal RNA", at positions 360 to 773 of the family's 1533-position model. The record is from RNAcentral.